This 248-nucleotide ribosomal RNA is filed under the name uncultured Lactobacillus sp. RNAcentral's name for it is "partial 16S ribosomal RNA". It matches the Rfam family "Bacterial small subunit ribosomal RNA", at positions 116 to 354 of the family's 1533-position model. The record is from RNAcentral. Lineage: Bacteria; Bacillati; Bacillota; Bacilli; Lactobacillales; Lactobacillaceae.
CGUGGGGAACCUGCCCCAUAGUCUGGGAUACCACUUGGAAACAGGUGCUAAUACCGGAUAAGAAAGCAGAUCGCAUGAUCAGCUUUUAAAAGGCGGCGUAAGCUGUCGCUAUGGGAUGGCCCCGCGGUGCAUUAGCUAGUUGGUAAGGUAAAGGCUUACCAAGGCGAUGAUGCAUAGCCGAGUUGAGAGACUGAUCGGGCCACAUUGGGACUGAGACACGGCCCAAACUCCUACGGGAGGCAGCAGGC